RNAcentral lists this ribosomal RNA (256 nucleotides) under uncultured bacterium. Its description in RNAcentral is "partial 16S ribosomal RNA". It matches the Rfam family "Bacterial small subunit ribosomal RNA", at positions 98 to 354 of the family's 1533-position model. The record is from RNAcentral.
CGGGACGGGUGAGUAACGCGUGGAUAACCUGCCGUAUACAGGGGGAUAACACUUAGAAAUAGGUGCUAAUACCGCAUAAGCGCACAGCUUCGCAUGAAGCAGUGUGAAAAACUCCGGUGGUAUACGAUGGAUCCGCGUCUGAUUAGCUGGUUGGCGGGGUAAAGGCCCACCAAGGCGACGAUCAGUAGCCGGCCUGAGAGGGUGAACGGCCACAUUGGGACUGAGACACGGCCCAAACUCCUACGGAAGGCAGCAG